UACGUAGGGUGCAAGCGUUAAUCGGAAUUACUGGGCGUAAAGCGUGCGCAGGCGGCUUUGCAAGACAGAUGUGAAAUCCCCGGGCUUAACCUGGGAACUGCAUUUGUGACUGCAUGGCUGGAGUCCGGAAGAGGAGAGUGGAAUUCCUGGUGUAGCGGUGAAAUGCGCAGAUAUCAGGAAGAACACCCGUGGCGAAGGCGGCUCUCUGGGACGGUACUGACGCUGAGACGCGAAAGCGUGGGGAGCGAACAGG
Molecule: ribosomal RNA, 253 nt
Filed under: uncultured bacterium
Lineage: Bacteria
Description: partial 16S ribosomal RNA
Rfam family: Bacterial small subunit ribosomal RNA
Source: RNAcentral